ACCAUGUAUCAUUUGCCUACAACUUUGCCGAAGACACCAAAUCGAUCAAAAAAUUUCUUCAAAAGAUACAGAUUCUUGAAUUUUCACAUAUCAUUUUUCUAUGGACAGCUGCCAAAUUUGUAAGGAAAAUUAUAUGGAAAAACUAAUGAUGCAAAAGGGCUUUUUUGGCAUACCGAAGGCAUCAAAAAAAAAUUCAUUCAUAUGAAAAAAUACAAAAAAAAAAUCGAAUGACCGAAAUCUGAAAGAAUUGCUUAAAGGUGAAAUUAGUAGAACGUCGUUAGACUUACUAAAGCGAAAGCAUUUGCUAUGUAUGUUUUUUGUAAAUCAAGAACGAAAGAAAGAGGAUCGAAGGCGAUUAGAUACCGCCCUAGUUCUAACCGUAAACAAUAUUGUAUUGGCAUAACGUCAGCUGUGUGCUAUCUUGUGACAUAGACCAUUUUGGUCGAAAAUGAGUUAAUG
RNAcentral lists this non-coding RNA (459 nucleotides) under Culex quinquefasciatus (southern house mosquito). RNAcentral describes it as "Eukaryotic small subunit ribosomal RNA". It matches the Rfam family "Eukaryotic small subunit ribosomal RNA", at positions 638 to 1109 of the family's 1831-position model. The record is from Rfam by way of RNAcentral. Lineage: Eukaryota; Metazoa; Arthropoda; Insecta; Diptera; Culicidae.